AUCCAUGGCUAACAUGAACUGCUUCCUGGAGGUAUUUGUGAAGCUUUCAUAACCGCUUGAAUAACCACAUAAUAGCGUCUUGAGUAACAGUCUUCAAGAUAGUGAUAACGCAGUCGACUGUCCGGCGGGGAGACCACCUUCGUUUGCUUCACAGGCUUUCCCGUUCAGGAAAAAACGUCGUAAACCUCACUCGCCAUGGUCUGACUUCUCAUUAAGGCCAGCAUCUACGUGGUGCGGAAGAUUCGGGCCUCUUUGAAGGAGGGGGAGCAGACCGAGGAACCGAUCGUCACGCCAUGUAGUCUGGCCAAAGGCGGUCAGAAGAAGCUGCCGGCGGCGAAUGGUGUGGCCCCGUUGAUUCCUGACCCUGAUACGUCAUCAAUGGGCGGGGCCUCGGGCCAGACGGCCGUGCAGAAAUGCAGCGCCACCUCCUGAAGUCGCUAGAGGUCGCGCCUGUGGGUCGCCAGGGGAAACGGCGCGCCAUUCCAAUGGUCGCGCAUUAUGAUGUCACAUCACGCCAUCACAGUAGUGCGGAAUUAUCAUGUCUCAACAUGGAAUCAUGACACUAGAUUUGUAUAACACGCCGACUUGAACCACCUAUCGCAGGUGUGCACCAUUACUUUGCAUGUGAACUCGUGCCCUACAAUGCCCUGUGACAGGUUAAGGUUGGGGGGGGGAUUAGUUUUAAAAGUUUAAAGGGUAGAAAUGUAGCUUUACUAACAGGUUAGGGUUGGGGAUGGGGAUAGUUGAGGGUCAGGGCACAUCUUAGCAUUUUCGUGCUUGGCAACAUAAAUUCGCCCCACCACAGCAAAGCCACUUGACUCACGUGAGCCUGAUCACUUGACAAAAACUGCUUUUCUGCGGCGUUGUACAGCACGAGUUACAUGCAGAGUAGUUGCACCAACAUGCGGAAUGCACUAGCGUGUAAUAACACACCUUUUCAUGAUGCCAGUCUGGAUGUCACACCAUCACAGUAGUGCGGCAUUGGGCACGUUCGCGAGUGCAUGUGCACUCUGAAAUUACAAUGCAUUUUAGUUCGAAAAUCCUAACCGGAAUGCAUUGCAAUGGGUACGUGCACAUGCACGCUGACUCUGUGCAGACGUGCCAAAUAUGAUGUCUAUACAGUAAAUAUUCUGUAACUGAGCAUUAAAUCAUCACAUCUUGUCGUAGAACAACCACAGCAUCCCCCUGUUCUCUUCUCCCCCUGGUAACUUGUCAGACGCGACCUCGACCUCAGAUCUCUCUCUCUCUCUCUCUCUCUCUCUCUCUCUCUCUCUCUCUCUCUCUCUCUCUCUCUCUCUCUCUCUCUCUCUCUCUCUCUCUCUCAGCUGUUUAUGAUGGUCUGUUCAUCAACCCUUCAUGGAGGGGCUGUUCAGAUCGGAUGUUUUUUUCAGCUGAAAUAACAUGUAUUACACACACACAAGUACUAUUUUGUAUCUUCAAUUUAGUGACACGUGUAACGUCCAUUCCGAAUACUGAAUACAGAUUUUUUUUUUUUUAAAGCAUCUGCAAAGAUAUGCCACGGUAAAUAAAGAUUUGUUUAAAGUUUUAACUCCA
Molecule: long non-coding RNA, 1554 nt
Organism: Engraulis encrasicolus (European anchovy)
Lineage: Eukaryota; Metazoa; Chordata; Actinopteri; Clupeiformes; Engraulidae
Exons: 3
Source: RefSeq, a predicted model, not a curated record